AACCAAAUAAUAAAAAUAAAAUAAAGGACAAGUAGUAAAGUAUAGUAUGAAACUGAGUGAUUAUUUAGUAUUUUAGUUUUAGUUUGGUAUUUCAAAGGAAAAUCUCAUUAAUGUAGGUAAUUCAUACUUGACUGUCUGACCAAACAGUUUUGAGCUUCUGAAAAAUGAUAAUUAAUAAUUUCAUGUUAAGUUCCCUUCCUAAAAGAAUUUAUGAAAAAUUACACUGAAUCAAUUUCACAAUGCAGACACUGUUUAUUUCCAUUUUAUUAGUAAUUGUAACAAGUCUGCAUUAGUAUAUAUUUAUUUUCAUUAAUGUAAAUAAAAUAAAUAAUGUUUUUGUUA
Long non-coding RNA from Cydia fagiglandana, 342 nucleotides. RefSeq lists it as uncharacterized. The transcript has 2 exons. NCBI's taxonomy places the organism in Eukaryota, Metazoa, Arthropoda, Insecta, Lepidoptera, Tortricidae. The record is from RefSeq and is a predicted model, not a curated record.